GACGAACGCUGGCGGCGUGCUUAACACAUGCAAGUCGAACGGAAAGGCCUGCUUUCCCUUGUGGAUUGCGGGUACUCGAGUGGCGAACGGGUGAGUAACACGUGAGUGAUCUGCCCCCAACUUGGGUAUAAGCCUGGGAAACUGGGUCUAAUUCCCGAUAGGACUGCAGGGUGGUGCCUGUGGUGGAAAACGAUUUUCUAGUGGUUGGGGAUGAGCUCGCGGCCUAUCAGCUUGUUGGUGGGGUAAUGGCCUACCAAGGCGGCGACGGGUAGCCGGCCUGAGAGGGUGGACGGCCACAUUGGGACUGAGAUACGGCCCAGACUCCUACGGGAGGCAGCAGUGGGGAAUAUUGCACAAUGGGAGGAAGCCUGAUGCAGCGACGCCGCGUGGGGGAUGACGGCCUUCGGGUUGUAAACUCCUUUCGACCGAGAGGAAGCCACCUGGUUGGAAGGGUGGUGACGGUAGUGGUAGAAGAAGCACCGGCUAACUACGUG
This 494-nucleotide ribosomal RNA is filed under the name uncultured bacterium. RNAcentral's name for it is "partial 16S ribosomal RNA". It matches the Rfam family "Bacterial small subunit ribosomal RNA", at positions 28 to 507 of the family's 1533-position model. The record is from RNAcentral.